UGGUUAAUUUAGGGGAGUGAUUUUCUUUUUAUUUGUCAGUCCUGUUCUUUAUCAGACACUUCAGUUGGCGUCUGUCCCUCAGAUUCAGACAUCCAGGACCCUGGACCUGUGCUUCCCGUGGGAGCUGCUGGGCUGGCCGAGGAGUUUCAAGCUUUGCUCCAGCAGUCAGAACUACUUCAUAUGCAGCUGUCAACUCAAAAUCAUAGACCUGUCCUCUGCCCAUCCAGGGCACACUGUGACACAAACUUUUCUGGUUGUCAUGACUGCGAUUUUAUAGUUAAAACUGAGUAGGGAGAUGAGGAUUCUGCUAGAGAAAACAAGUAAAUCUUUAUGAAAUUGUUCUUCUCAGACUCAGAAGGGAAGAAGAGCCCAAGGGCGACUCCUAUCACACCAAAAGAAGAGGCUUCACUUGGAGUCACUCUCCUGGAUUGAGCCUGGUUUGUUACCCAGAAAGAAGUGGCUUCCUGGGGCAGACAGUCACAUGCUGAAAGCCGACAAAGAAUUUUAAGGGCAUCUGUGUUUCUGUGAUUUGUAUGCCAUGGAACUGAAGCCCUGAUUCGACCUUGCUACUCCAGGCUGCGUGAUCAAGAACACUACCACCCCACAUACAUUUUCCCAUUCAAUCUCUACAAUGCCCCCGAAAUGUUUAUACAUUAUUUUCCAACUGAAAAGAUUUAGAAACUAAAUAUAUUUUAUUGUUGCAGGAUAGGAAAUUCAAAUAGCUUAUAUGUUAAUAAAUGGCCAGGAUCAUGAUUCAA
Long non-coding RNA from Peromyscus leucopus (white-footed mouse), 758 nucleotides. RefSeq lists it as uncharacterized. The transcript is spliced from 2 exons. Lineage: Eukaryota; Metazoa; Chordata; Mammalia; Rodentia; Cricetidae. The record is from RefSeq and is a predicted model, not a curated record.